GAUGAACGCUGGCGGCGUGCCUAAUACAUGCAAGUCGAACGAACAGACGAGGAGCUUGCUCCUUUGACGUUAGCGGCGGACGGGUGAGUAACACGUGGGUAACCUACCUAUAAGACUGGGAUAACUUCGGGAAACCGGAGCUAAUACCGGAUAAUAUUUCGAACCGCAUGGUUCGAUAGUGAAAGAUGGCUUUGCUAUCACUUAUAGAUGGACCUGCGCCGUAUUAGCUAGUUGGUAAGGUAACGGCUUACCAAGGCAACGAUACGUAGCCGACCUGAGAGGGUGAUCGGCCACACUGGAACUGAGACACGGUCCAGACUCCUACGGGAGGCAGCAGUAGGGAAUCUUCCGCAAUGGGCGAAAGCCUGACGGAGCAACGCCGCGUGAGUGAUGAAGGUCUUCGGAUCGUAAAACUCUGUUAUUAGGGAAGAACAAACGUGUAAGUAACUGUGCACGUCUUGACGGUACCUAAUCAGAAAGCCACGGCUAACUACGUG
RNAcentral lists this ribosomal RNA (497 nucleotides) under uncultured bacterium. Its description in RNAcentral is "partial 16S ribosomal RNA". It matches the Rfam family "Bacterial small subunit ribosomal RNA", at positions 28 to 507 of the family's 1533-position model. The record is from RNAcentral.